AACAAUUAGACAAGGUGAGGAUAAAUAUAUCUUAGGGUUGUACCUUCAAGUCUGGUAAUUCAAUCAGACAAGCACACUCCACAACAUCAACCCCAACACGUUCUGCAAUAAAGGGAGUAACAAACAGAACAACUAAGAAUGUAUUGAAAUGCUUAUGUUAAGCAUUAAACAGUAUAAAAUACACUUCCAAGUUAAACAGUCACUUCACUUGAAAACACCAUCUUUAAAAGGAUGGUAUUAGGUUCAUUACCCAGAAACAAGCUUUUCUCUUCUCAUUAAAAGCACAUCAUACAUGCAUUAUUUGUCUGAAUGUAUAAAUAAACAGAAAGAAGAAAACCAUGAAUGCUGAAACACUGAUAGGAUGAUCUCUUCUGUGGUUCAAUGGGUCCGAAGAAAGGAAAGUUAAAUGCACAAAAAGGAAGUACUUAAAUUCCACAACAAAUUUUACAUAGAAAUGCCCCUUAGAUUGAGAUGCCUAUAAGAACAUAAAAUGUGUAUGGGUGUAAUGCAGACAAAAUUAAAAUGUUGGAUUAAUAUCCUUCUAUAUUUUUCUUAACAAAUUAUGUAAUAGGACCCUUCCAGAGAGGGUAUAACUCAAGUAAACCAAAAAACUCAGAAAGACAAAGUGUAAAAUAAAACAAAGAGCAACAGAAUAAAGCAUACUGGUUUACUUCAGGAGAGAGGAAGAGAGAACACCAAAUACUGUCAUGCAUUCUAUUUCACAAGCAAUAAGGGAAAACAUCUUAAUGAACUUCAUCUAUUAUUUUGUGCAAAUAAACCAAAAAAGAAGUAUCAAAGAUAUAAUCAUGUAUCCCAGUGCCUAAGGCUCCUCACUUUACGAAGGAAUAAUUAUACACAGCCUUUCCGUUGCAUAUUCAAAGAAGCUAUUUCCUUAUUCGAGCCCAUGAUGAACUGGUCACCAAGGCAUAACUUCACCGUUAUGCCAAAGCUCAUCCUUGUACCAGGUAAUAUACUAUUAAACAGAAAUUCUUACCAGUGAUCUUGUCAGUUCUUCAUUUUCAUGAUAGUAUAUGGCACAUAUAUCCAAUAACUUUGGCAAUUCAAGCAACUUUUUCUCCUGCAAAAGAACUACAGGCAAAAUUAGUGAACAACGGUGAAUCACAACAAAAAAAGACAAAAUAUGAGGUAAUAUUACUCGACAAGAAUCCACAAUGGAAAUAAUUUUCCAAACACUUCCUAUUUCUUGUAUACAAAUAACAUUUCUAAAACAGCACAAAAUCAUUGUUCCAAUGCGAGUUCAAUCUCUGCCUGGGCCAAGACUUACAAAUGCACACAGUAUGUAUGUGCGCUGUCUUAACAAAGGAAUUAGUAAUAAAAAACAUGUAGUGGUCACUCAAACAAAAACGUCUAUAUUGUCCACAACCUAAAAAAAGUCAAAUGAUUUUCGCUAGGAUGCAAAUACAGGUAACUUCCGGCUGAUGAUGUCGACUGUUACGUUUGAGUGGAGGAGGAAGGGGUUUUAUUUUGUUCUUCAGCCAUAUCUGUAAGGAAAAACAAUAAGGAAAAAGAAAAUUCAGAAAAGCGAGAAUCGGAAACUGAUUGAGAAAGAAAAUGAAAAAGAACAAGAGAUUGAAACAAGAAAAUCAGAGUUACGCAACAGAGCUCUUCAAUUGAAGAGCUAUGAUACCAUAACACGAUUAGUGCAAAUCUGAGAUGAAGAUGCGCCUUGCGGGAGAUGGUUGAAGGAGUUCCAAUCUGUGAAAAAGAGCCCCUGCGUAGAAGACAAAAGCGCUUGUGCUUUGGAUCAAAAAGGGGGCUGCAACAUCAACGCUGUAAACAAACCAGUAUGAACACGAAAGGGUCUUUAUUCGAAGAACUGCAAUGCACACACAUUACAAAAAAUCACAGAUAAAAAAAACAGAGUCCAAAACAGAGCAUCACUCCAACUCAUGAGAAACUUACAUGCGAUACAAUACCAUGAAAAACGCGGCGACACAAAUCGCGCUCCCCAACAAUAACACCUGCAACAAUCCCUUUCACCCCGCGAUGAGGGAAAUCAUACCACAAGUCUAAUCUAAAAUGGGAAUUAGUUGAAAAGAACAGGUUAAUUAUGAGAAAAAUCUUAAAAAAAAUAAGAAAGAAACAAGAAGAAACUUGUUUAAAAGAUCGGAUCUUCUUUCAUCUAUU
This 2148-nucleotide long non-coding RNA is filed under the name Phaseolus vulgaris (common bean). Its description in RNAcentral is "long non-coding RNA (PVUL_LNC001081)". Lineage: Eukaryota; Viridiplantae; Streptophyta; Magnoliopsida; Fabales; Fabaceae. The record is from RNAcentral.